GACGAACGCUGGCGGCGUGCCUAAUACAUGCAAGUAGAACGCACAGUUUAUACCGUAGCUUGCUACACCAUAGACUGUGAGUUGCGAACGGGUGAGUAACGCGUAGGUAACCUGCCUGGUAGCGGGGGAUAACUACUGGAAACGCUAGCUAAUACCGCAUAAUAUUAAUUAUUGCAUGAUAAUUGAUUGAAAGAUGCAACUGCAUCACUACCAGAUGGACCUGCGUUGUAUUAGCUAGUAGGUGAGGUAACGGCUCACCUAGGCGGCGAUACAUAGCCGAGCUGGGAGGGUGAUCGGCCCCACUGGGACUGGGACACGGCCCAGACUCCUACGGGAGGCAGCAGUAGGGAAUCUUCGGCAAUGGACGAAAGGCUGACCGAGCACCGCCGCGUGAGUGAAGAAGGGUUUCGGAUCGUAAAGGUCUGUUGUAAGGGAAGAACGGGUGUGAGGGUGGAAAGUUCACACUGUGACGGUACCUUAACAGAAAGGGACGGCUAACUACGUG
RNAcentral lists this ribosomal RNA (505 nucleotides) under uncultured bacterium. RNAcentral's name for it is "partial 16S ribosomal RNA". It matches the Rfam family "Bacterial small subunit ribosomal RNA", at positions 28 to 507 of the family's 1533-position model. The record is from RNAcentral.